GAUGGAAAGUGGGCUUAAAGAAGCCAUCUUUUUAGAGUGGGUUAAUCCUCAGUAUUUCUAGUUAAUGAUCAAAUGAAGUUCCUUUUGUUCAACAAAACUUCUUCACGAAACUAAGGGGUGAAGGUAAUAAUGUAAAGAUGAGUAGCUCAGUUUUUGGGGUUUAUUUGGUUCAGGAAAUUAAACGCUAAGUGAACGAUGAUGAUAAGCAAAGCUAAAGGAACUCGGCAAUAACGAAAACCGCCUGUUUAGCAAAAACAUGGCUCCUUGAAAUCAUAAGGAGUCGUGCCUUCCCGGUGAGUUUAAACUUAAACGGAUGCGGUAAAGCGUGCUAAGGUAGCUAAGUUAUGGCCUAGUUAAUUGUAGGCCCUGUGAAUGGUUUGACGAGUUUUCUUCUGUCUCUAGCUUGUUUUAGUGAACUUGAAUUGGAUGUGCAAAUGCUUCCUUGCGAAAGAAAGACGAGAAGACCCCGUGAAGUUAGAAAUCUAUGUGCGUGGAGGUAGAAGGUUACUUCCCUUAGCUUAUGGUUUUGG
RNAcentral lists this ribosomal RNA (530 nucleotides) under Argopecten purpuratus. RNAcentral's name for it is "partial 16S ribosomal RNA". It matches the Rfam family "Bacterial large subunit ribosomal RNA", at positions 1092 to 2154 of the family's 2925-position model. Lineage: Eukaryota; Metazoa; Mollusca; Bivalvia; Pectinida; Pectinidae. The record is from RNAcentral.